ACCGGUGGUAGCUCAGAUGGAUAGAGCAGGAUCUUGAUACGGUCCAGGUCGCGGGUUCAAGUCCCGCUCAUCGCUUCCA
The sequence is a transfer RNA, 79 nucleotides long. It matches the Rfam family "tRNA". From Rfam's summary of the family: Transfer RNA (tRNA) molecules are approximately 80 nucleotides in length.